This 708-nucleotide ribosomal RNA is filed under the name Escherichia coli. RNAcentral describes it as "bacterial SSU rRNA". It matches the Rfam family "Bacterial small subunit ribosomal RNA", at positions 81 to 784 of the family's 1533-position model. The record is from RNAcentral. Lineage: Bacteria; Pseudomonadati; Pseudomonadota; Gammaproteobacteria; Enterobacterales; Enterobacteriaceae.
UGCUUCGCUGACGAGUGGCGGACGGGUGAGUAAUGUCGGGGAAACUGGCUGAUGGAGGGGGAUAACUACUGGAAACGGUGAGCUAAUACCGCAUAACGUCGCAAGACCAAAGAGGGGGACCUUAGGGCCUCUUGCCAUCGGAUGUGCCCAGAUGGGAUUAGCUAGUAGGUGGGGUAACGGCUCACCUAGGCGACGAUCCCUAGCUGGUCUGAGAGGAUGACCAGCCACACUGGAACUGAGACACGGUCCAGACUCCUACGGGAGGCAGCAGUGGGGAAUAUUGCACAAUGGGCGCAAGCCUGAUGCAGCCAUGCCGCGUGUAUGAAGAAGGCCUUCGGGUUGUAAAGUACUUUCAGCGGGGAGGAAGGGAGUAAAGUUAAUACCUUUGCUCAUUGACGUUACCCGCAGAAGAAGCACCGGCUAACUCCGUGCCAGCAGCCGCGGUAAUACGGAGGGUGCAAGCGUUAAUCGGAAUUACUGGGCGUAAAGCGCACGCAGGCGGUUUGUUAAGUCAGAUGUGAAAUCCCCGGGCUCAACCUGGGAACUGCAUCUGAUACUGGCAAGCUUGAGUCUCGUAGAGGGGGGUAGAAUUCCAGGUGUAGCGGUGAAAUGCGUAGAGAUCUGGAGGAAUACCGGUGGCGAAGGCGGCCCCCUGGACGAAGACUGACGCUCAGGUGCGAAAGCGUGGGGAGCAAACAGGAUUAGAUA